AAAACGCAAGACAUUUGAAUUUUAGUAAAUUCCAUAUUUUAAAAAAUUGUAAAACUCAAUAUUGAGCUAAAACUCAAAAACUGCUCUCAUUAAAUUUUUUGAAGCGCGGUAUGGAAAUCAGCACUAAAUUGUACUUUAAAAAUGUUGUCGUUGACAGAAGUUCACGACUUUCGUUUUAUUUUGUAAACUAGUAUUAUUGGCUCAUUAAAACGUUAUAACUCGAAAGUUUCGCCAGAAACCACUUCAAAGCGAAAUGUAGUUGAAAAGAGAAAAGCUAGAGGUACUUUUUGCAGUUAUAAAAAAAUUGGUCGGCCAUAUUGAUUUCGGCCGCCAUCUUGAUUUUUUUUUUUUGCUAGGUUUCUAGCUGCACUCUGAAUAGAGUUGAAACCUCUACACUAGACCUGAAGAUAGAAAAGAGUACGUAAUCUUUCAGAAGCAGUUUGCCAGCCGUACGCGGAAAAUGAUAUCCAUUAAGACACUGUUGCAAACUGACUCAAAAAGUUACGGUAUAAGAUUGGAAAGUUUUCAAUUGGUCAGUCAGUCAGGAUUCGCCUAUGUAGUGUUAUGGUCACACAAGUUAUGUUUGUCUCUUCUUUAAUUUUGUGGUAUGGUUCAAUAUGUAUUUCUCCUCGUUAAGUCAGUUGUCGUAUGUUUGUUUUUUUUUUUCAUCGAAUCAAUCGAACCCCGUAUGUUAAAAUAUAGUCGAUCCUGUGUCAAAUUGUUUUCUUGAUUUCGCUAAUCGAUUCCUACUUCGCUGUCUUCAUCUCUUGUCCUCAAAUUGUCGUCGGUCCAAAACCCACAGAAACAUGUAACUGAAUUUCUGUAGGUGUCAUAAUACCAUCUAAGAGAUA
This is a long non-coding RNA of Aedes albopictus (Asian tiger mosquito), 851 nucleotides long. RefSeq lists it as uncharacterized. Lineage: Eukaryota; Metazoa; Arthropoda; Insecta; Diptera; Culicidae. The record is from RefSeq and is a predicted model, not a curated record. The transcript has 2 exons.